AUGGGAUGCACUGAUGUGUGUAAGGGGGAGGGGUGGAGAGAGAGGGAGAUGAGAGCUGAGAAUAAAGGGAAGAAAAAAAAAAUGGGGUCAGUGAAUUUCCAGGCUCUGCAGCAGGGAGGUUUGGCAGCUCUGGCUCCUAAGGAAGCCAGGCCUUGUGAUUCAUCACAGACCAGAUUCCUGCUGACUUCAAAGGGAGAUGUUCAGGAGGAGAAGAUGCCAGCAUCCAGGAGGGAGUUCUUUUCCAGAAGGUUUAAAAUAUACCUUCCUUUGUGGAGAAGCCAUGAUGAGGGGCUGCAGGCCACACUUAUGCUCCAACCUAGUGAAGAAGGAAAAGCAGUACAGGUAAGUAUAAGGACGCUGAUGGUGAUAACUUUGGGACCAGUCUGUGUAUGUUGUCAUCCAUAAAAGGUGCUAGCAAUCCAAGAGGUUUUGAGAGGACAUUUGCACAACGCGAAAGUUAAAAUAAAGUUGCAAAAUUCAAGACUGGCUUCCAAGCAAAGCAUUAUGCUGAAAGUGCUUAGGUUUACCAGGUGAGAAAACUGAGGCUGAAAGAGGUUAAAACUUCUCACAGCUGGUGAAGGAAUUCAUUUAAAUCCAUGGGCCUAUCGUCCUCACUCUUCUGUAUUAGUUGACGAAGGCCAUCUUCUACAGAAAACCAUCUACGUCCUUCUUUUCAUGUGCUCUGUGCUCUAAAUUAGCCUACUGUUCCCCUACCGUCUCUUUUCUAACAGCUUACUCCGCGUUCUAUCUCUAGCUUUACCAGACUCUCUGUAACCCCCCUUUAUCUCUCAUCCGUCAUCUCCCUUGAGCUCUCACUUAGCCUGUUCUAACGCGAAAGGCUUGGGCCUUUCCCAGGGCUUCCCCCAAUCUCAUCCCUCCAGCAUUAGGUGGGGCUUAAAGGGCAAUGACUGCCCCGGACUCCAUACCUCUCUGACAUCUCUUGAUGUUGAUAUUAUUACCCGGGUUUGCUGGUCUUUUUUCUGGUGGUCAUUUUGGAGGCAGAGAGGAAGGCUAAAACAGAAAGACUUUCAUGCCUUAUGUCAGCCUUUUCAGUAUCCUUACCACUGGUGGUUUGGGAAACAUUUUUAGUGGUAUGAGGGCAACUAUUUUGUUUCAAUAGUUAUUUUUACAGAUACCUUCUAUCUUUGGUAAUGAAUGCUGAUUUUCCAUUUACGGUUACAAUGUAAUGCUCUUUUUUUUUUUUUUCUAUUUCUAUAACAUCUAUUUUUUAAUUUAUUUUUUAAUUGGAGUAUAAUUGCUCUACAAUUUUGUGUUAGUUUCUUCUGUACAACAACGUGAAUCAGCUCUCUGUACACAUAAACCCCACCU
This 1329-nucleotide long non-coding RNA is filed under the name Cervus hanglu yarkandensis (Yarkand deer). Its description in RNAcentral is "lncRNA (ENSCHYG00000026829.1)". Lineage: Eukaryota; Metazoa; Chordata; Mammalia; Artiodactyla; Cervidae. The record is from RNAcentral.